Molecule: non-coding RNA, 28 nt
Filed under: Mus musculus (house mouse)
Lineage: Eukaryota; Metazoa; Chordata; Mammalia; Rodentia; Muridae
Source: RNAcentral
UGAUAACUGCCCUGGCUUACAAAGCAUG